This 472-nucleotide ribosomal RNA is filed under the name uncultured bacterium. RNAcentral describes it as "bacterial SSU rRNA". It matches the Rfam family "Bacterial small subunit ribosomal RNA", at positions 335 to 799 of the family's 1533-position model. The record is from RNAcentral.
ACUCCUACGGGAGGCAGCAGUGGGGAAUAUUGCACAAUGGGGGAAACCCUGAUGCAGCCAUGCCGCGUGUGUGAAGAAGGCCUUCGGGUUGUAAAGCACUUUCAGUAGGGAGGAAGGUAGUGUAGUUAACACCUGCACUAUUUGACGUUACCUACAGAAGAAGCACCGGCUAACUCCGUGCCAGCAGCCGCGGUAAUACGGAGGGUGCGAGCGUUAAUCGGAAUUACUGGGCGUAAAGCGCAUGCAGGCGGCCUGUUAAGUCAGAUGUGAAAGCCCGGGGCUUAACCUCGGAAUUGCAUUUGAAACUGGCAGGCUAGAGUCUUGUAGAGGGGGGUAGAAUUUCAGGUGUAGCGGUGAAAUGCGUAGAGAUCUGAAGGAAUACCAGUGGCGAAGGCGGCCCCCUGGACAAAGACUGACGCUCAGAUGCGAAAGCGUGGGGAGCAAACAGGAUUAGAUACCCUGGUAGCACAGG